ACUUUAACAAAUCUUGCAGCCGCACACUCUUUGGGUCCGCCCGUUUCUCUAAUCAAGUUGUAACACUCGCUGCUGUGGUCCACAGCUUCAUUCCUUGAAGCCCGUGAGACACGAACGCUUCCAUUGAGAAAAACCUUCCAUCAGAAGAAGACUUCUCGUCUCAGUGGGACUGCUGAGUUGAAUGGUGCUUUUUUUUCUGAAGCUUUGGUAGUGUAACUGUAAGAGUCCUGGAAUUGGAAAAGCAAAUCCAGAAGUUGAGUUCCAUGACUUUUUUGCUGUUUGCCUUUGGACUUGCAUCAUUUAUAUUUUUAAUUCAUCGAGGAUGAGAAAAUUGAUUAACACAAAAUCUUUUCAUGUCUUUUCUGAUGAGAGACUAGCUGAAUCCAAGAAGAGAAGCCCUUGAAGAGUGUAUUCUAUUCUAGACAAGCAUUCACACAUUGGCUUCUUUGGUGCCAGCAUGUUUCUGAUCAGCAUGAAAACUGCGCAGGAGCUUUUCUGUCUUGCAGAGCUAGUUAAUGAGAUUGUUGCUGCCUUCAGAUUCUAUAAAGGACUUCUCCAAUAUUGGAUUAAAGAAUGAAGAAAGGAUCAAAUUGAGACAUCCAGGGGGGAAGAGUUCCCUGGCAAAACUCCAAUCUGCCUGAGCACUGAGGUGGAGCCACAGAAGUCCGGGUCAUUUGCACCUGGGAGGAGCCUGGCCCCUCCUCUUCCUGUGUGGAAUCUGGGAUUUAAUCUGUGAGGAGGGAAGGCCAAGGGCAGGAAGCACAGGCUCUCACUUCACUAAGAGUCUCUGUUUCCCCUUUUUUUCCUUUAUGCCUAAUUAAUAAAUCCCAUUUUUCUCACUCUUCAAAUAGUCUUCAAGCCUAAAUUUUCAUGACCAUGGAACAAGGACCCCAUCUUUAGCUGAACUAAGGAAAAGUCCUGCAACAAAAUUCUUUGCUAAAAAUACAUGAGGUUGCCUUUUCCUUCUUAAUCUUAAAAGAAAUAUAUUUCAAUGGUUAACGUUUUAGUAAUUCAAAAAUUAUCAAGCAUUUGUUCACAACCAUAAGAUGUGCAUUGUUUUAUAUUCCUACUUAAUAAUAGACUAUAAUUGUCUAAUUAGACUGCCGAUGUUGAUCUUUGUGGCUCAUUGCAUUGAUUAUAAGCAGUGUUUUGGGUUUGUGUGUGUGUGUCAAAUUUAGGGUUUUUUUGGUAUGGCUGCUGGUUGGUGUAGCCUGUAUCCAGUAUCCUGUAUUAAUUCUAAUAUUUGCAUUUUGAACAUAUUUACAAGUUGCUAAAAUAGCAAAGCUUCGAGAUGAGCCUGGCUGAUAUGGCAAAACCCCGUCUCUACUAAAAAUACAAAAAUUAGCCUGGUGUGGUGGUGCAUGCCUGUAAUCCCAGCUACUUGGAAGUCUGAGGCAGGAGAAUCUCUUGAACCCAGAAGGUGGAGGUUGCAGUGGGCCAAGAUCGCACCACUGCACUCCAGCCUCGGUGAUAGAGCGAGACUACGUCUC
RNAcentral lists this long non-coding RNA (1490 nucleotides) under Homo sapiens (human). RNAcentral describes it as "non-protein coding LINC02328:45". Lineage: Eukaryota; Metazoa; Chordata; Mammalia; Primates; Hominidae. The record is from RNAcentral.